This 207-nucleotide ribosomal RNA is filed under the name uncultured bacterium. RNAcentral describes it as "partial 16S ribosomal RNA". It matches the Rfam family "Bacterial small subunit ribosomal RNA", at positions 1286 to 1500 of the family's 1533-position model. The record is from RNAcentral.
UCCCAGUUCGGAUUGUAGUCUGCAACCCGACUACAUGAAGCUGGAAUCGCUAGUAAUCGCGCAUCAGCCAUGGCGCGGUGAAUACGUUCCCGGGCCUUGUACACACCGCCCGUCAAGCCAUGGGAGCCGGGGGCGCCUGAAGUCCGGGACCGCGAGGACCGGCCUAGGGCGAAACUGGUAACUGGGGCUAAGUCGUAACAAGGUAUC